RNAcentral lists this long non-coding RNA (936 nucleotides) under Cyanistes caeruleus (blue tit). Its description in RNAcentral is "lncRNA (ENSCCEG00000012218.1)". The record is from RNAcentral. Lineage: Eukaryota; Metazoa; Chordata; Aves; Passeriformes; Paridae.
CUCUGAUGUCUGGAUGUGAAGUGAGAUGGCAUGGAGGGCCAGCCCGUGCUCUGUGGGAGGAUCUACAGGUGCUUGCUGUUCUCUGUCAGUGUUCUCUAUCAGCUGAGAUCUGAUGUGCAGCUGGAUAUCAUUCAGAAGGGACAGCUGAACUGUGAAGGGUUGUGCUGCUCCCAAUGACUUCUUCAGGAUAAGCUUGAGUGGAGAUUGAUGGACUGGCGUGUCCACAUUAAGAGCCAGACUCCUUUCUCUUGCUCCAGGCAUUUCUGCUUCUGGCUAAGCAAAAGGGGGACCUCCUGUUUAUUGCAAGUGUUUCCCCACACCAGGAGUGUCCCAGGACUAUCACUCUCUGAUCCUCAGGUGCUGGAGGGAUAAUUGUAGGGCUGGGGUGAAUGCUGCCUUCCUCCCUAGGUUUUUGUGAGGCCAAUGGGGUGCAGUUAAUGCCCUCAGGAGAUGAAUCUCACCCGGAUCUGCUGCCUGCAGAACCUUGCACACUCGUGGGAUCCAAUUGCAGGCCAUGGUCUAAGCUGUAUUGAGUUUCAGGAGGAAGUCUGGCUCAAAGUCCCGAGCCUUUGUGUAGCAGAGCCAAUAAAGAUGUGCUCAGCUUUGUGAGUAACCCCCACCUCUCACCUCUCCUUCCACCAGAGCAGUGAGAAGUGCAAUUACUCAGGACAGCAGCAGUCACAAACACUUUUUUGAUUCUUCAGGAAGAGAGAAAGAUUGAGAGAAUAGUUAAUGCAAAUGAACAGUCACAGCUGUGCAGAAGAGUUCAUGGAAAAGCAGUGCUAUGAAGAAAGGGGAGAGGGGGAAAAUAAUUCCUUUCUUCGCCGUGUGAAAAGAUGUGAGUGCACACAUGGUGGAAGAGGCAGCCUUGCACUGCCCUGGCACCAUCGGAGACGUGAGCUGCAAGAGUUCCACGUGGUCCAGCUGGUGGCCUGA